AUUGAACGCUGGCGGCAUGCCUUACACAUGCAAGUCGAACGGCAGCACGGGUGCUUGCACCUGGUGGCGAGUGGCGAACGGGUGAGUAAUACAUCGGAACAUGUCCUAUAGUGGGGGAUAGCCCGGCGAAAGCCGGAUUAAUACCGCAUACGAUCCACGGAUGAAAGCGGGGGACCUUCGGGCCUCGCGCUAUAGGGUUGGCCGAUGGCUGAUUAGCUAGUUGGUGGGGUAAAGGCCUACCAAGGCGACGAUCAGUAGCUGGUCUGAGAGGACGACCAGCCACACUGGGACUGAGACACGGCCCAGACUCCUACGGGAGGCAGCAGUGGGGAAUUUUGGACAAUGGGCGAAAGCCUGAUCCAGCAAUGCCGCGUGUGUGAAGAAGGCCUUCGGGUUGUAAAGCACUUUUGUCCGGAAAGAAAUCCUUGACUCUAAUACAGUCGGGGGAUGACGGUACCGGAAGAAUAAGCACCGGCUAACUACGUG
RNAcentral lists this ribosomal RNA (486 nucleotides) under uncultured bacterium. RNAcentral's name for it is "partial 16S ribosomal RNA". It matches the Rfam family "Bacterial small subunit ribosomal RNA", at positions 30 to 507 of the family's 1533-position model. The record is from RNAcentral.